CCUACGGGCGGCAGCAGUGAGGAAUAUUGGUCAAUGGGCGCAAGCCUGAACCAGCCAAGUCGCGUGAGGGAAGACGGCCCUACGGGUUGUAAACCUCUUUUGCCGGGGAGCAAGCCUGAGCACGUGUGCACAGGCGGAGAGUACCCGGAGAAAAAGCAUCGGCUAACUCCGUGCCAGCAGCCGCGGUAAUACGGAGGAUGCGAGCGUUAUCCGGAUUUAUUGGGUUUAAAGGGUGCGUGGGCGGCCUUUUAAGUCAGCGGUGAAAGUCUGUGGCUCAACCAUAGAAUUGCCGUUGAAACUGGGAGGCUUGAGUAUGUUUGAGGCAGGCGGAAUGCGUGGUGUAGCGGUGAAAUGCUUAGAUAUCACGCAGAACCCCGAUUGCGAAGGCAGCCUGCCAAGCCAUGACUGACGCUGAUGCACGAAAGCGUGGGGAUCAAACAGGAUUAGAUACCCCAGUAGUC
This 461-nucleotide ribosomal RNA is filed under the name uncultured bacterium. RNAcentral's name for it is "partial 16S ribosomal RNA". It matches the Rfam family "Bacterial small subunit ribosomal RNA", at positions 338 to 795 of the family's 1533-position model. The record is from RNAcentral.